UGAUAGGACCUGAUGGAGUUACUCAAAUCAGAUCAGAUUUGGAUUGUGUACCUCAUGUGUGUUACCAUCCGGAUAUGGGAACACCAGUAACUAACUUGAACCUGACAGUGACAGCCCUAGCUGCCACUAACUGCUCCUGGCCCAAGUUUGGCCUAGGUCUGGCCUGAGGCCAGCUAGCAUUGGUAUCAAGCUAGAGUUUCAAGUUGAAUGUGCCUAAGCAGGCCUUACUAAUCAGUCCAGCCUGAAAGAUUAACAAUUUGUAGGCCAAGUAUUUGGCUGGUGAGACUGGCCUGGCCUGAGCAUGAUUCUUAGGGGGUGUUUGGCGCAUGGUAUUGGGAAGGAUCAGGUGGGAUGGGAUUCAAAAAGUGUAAUUAUUACAUAUGUAAGGGAUUGUCCCCUAUUACUAAGUGGGCUCCACCUGUUAGAUGGGCUACAAGUUGUCACUGCUCCUCAUCAAACGACUUCCGCCAAAGGUUGGAUAUGAUAUGCUAAAAAAACACUUGGCUCAUACACUACCUUUAUUUCUUCUGUGAAGAUUCCACAACAAGCAAUCGGGGCAACCAUCAACCAUGAACCCACAUGCCACUCCUGCUUCAAAUUAGGCUAUGAGCACUCGCUGCUGCUCCCUCUCCUGCUUCCUAGAUGUUCACAUACUUGCUAACUUUUAGAAGUGAACCUUUCAUAUAGAAUGAACUCCAACUAAUGAAGCAAUAAAUUUCCCCACAAAAUCAGCAAAAAAAAAAGAAAAAAAAGAAAAGGAAAAGAGAUUAAAAUAUGGAAUUGAGAACACCAUCCAAAGUGUUGAUAUAUGAUGGGAGCCAUCAUGGAUGUACCACAGCUCCUAGAUUGGAAGAUCUAGUCCAAUUGAUGGCCAGCAAAUGGACAGUUAAGAAAGAAAAUAUAGCAAUGGUCCACAUUCAACCCAAAAGGCCAAAGACUCAAUGGCUAGAAUCUUCCUUUCUGGGGCAUUUUUGGUUCGUGGCCACCAUUCAUAUCUACAGUUUCAAUCAUUGAACCAUGGUCCCAACUUUUACAAACUGAAAACCCCAACGCAUCAUAGAAACUAGGAGCAAUGCCAGGACUGUUAUCAUUCAUAAAUAUAAUUGUUUUCAUCUUUUGACAUUAAAAAGCACACAAAAGAUACCAAAUCCCUUCAAGAAAAUUGAAUUGUGCCCACCUUUGUAACACCAAUAGUUCGGACCUCAACUGAUCGCCUACCUUGGACUACAUCAAUAGCUACAUUUGAAAUUAGGCCUGUCCAUAGAUGUUGCAACAUAUCCCUCGCUUGAAUCCUUCCAAAUUCAACAUCUACAACCACAAUAAGAUGAGAAGGAAAAGCGAAUGGAAACAACAGUGUACCUAACACAACAAAGAAAUUAGUUAAGAGAAUGGAGCCAUAUGUUUCACCAAUUACCUGCAUACUUAUAAUUUCAUACGAUGGUGUGUUGAGUUGACCACCAAUAUGUUGCUCUGUUUUGUAAUGCUUUUACCAUGGUGUGCUUAUUUCUCUCCUUCAUGUUGUUUCCUUGAUUAUAACUUGGCUGUCUACUGUAGAUACAGAUGCAACCAAGAAACCCAUUGCUACUUAAUAUCCCAAGUAUGCCAUUUUUGAAGCAUAAAUUUCCUUGGGUACUGCUUGAUUAAUCUUAAGCAUUCAGUGUCCAUUCAAAGCAUCAAGCUGCCCUUAAUUAUUACCCUUUUGUCCAUCAGAUUCUUUAGUUUGGGCUGAUAUAGAAAUCUUAGGUGGAUGCUGCACAUAAUGUUCAUCUGCAUUUGAAAUCACUAUCUGAAUUACAUGUUUCCUGCUACAACUUAAAAAUAGUGGAUUCUUGCUACCUUUGUUUACAUAUAUACAAUUUUACACGUUCCUGUCUCUAAUUACAGUUAAUAAUUACAAUUAAUAAUUGUAUCUAAUUACAACUGAAAAAUAGUGUCUCUAAUUACAGUUAAUAAUUGUAUCUAAGUUCAUCAGAGAUGCAUUUACAUGAACAGAUCAAUUGAGUUGUUGAACAUCUAAUUACAAUUUAUAGUUGUUAAUUGAUCUUGCUUAAUAAUAUUUUUAUUGCUUUAUUUAUAGUUGGUUGGAUGAUGAAUAUACUUGCGAUUGAGAAUAGAAAUAAACAAUUUACAAUGUAUAUAUACCCUGGAGGAUUUAUUUUUUAGGGGGACAUGUAAUUAUUGUAACUUGCCUUCCUUUGCUAAAUGAACGGAUGAUAAUGGGGCUUGUUUAAAUUAUAUUAGGAAGCUUUGUCAGGUGUUUAGUAUAUUUUCACUAACCCGUCCGAGUGGCUAAGGAAGAUACUUAUGGAUAAGAGUUGGAUUCAUCUGCCAAGGGUGAGUGAUGCAUACUUAAAUGGAGCUGCAAAAUUUAUAGAUUUUGCAUUUGCAAAUGCAAGUAAUAGAGGGAGGAUCCGAUGUCCAUGUAAGAACUGUAACAAUAACUUCUGGG
Magnolia sinica is the source of this 2449-nucleotide long non-coding RNA. RefSeq lists it as uncharacterized. The record is from RefSeq and is a predicted model, not a curated record. NCBI's taxonomy places the organism in Eukaryota, Viridiplantae, Streptophyta, Magnoliopsida, Magnoliales, Magnoliaceae. The transcript has 4 exons.